CGUGAGAUGUUGGGUUAAGUCCCGCAACGAGCGCAACCCUGUCCUAUGUUGCCAGCGGGUCAUGCCGGGGACUCAUGGGAGACUGCCGGGGUCAAACUCGGAGGAAGUGGGAUGACGUCAAAUCAUCAUGCCCCUUAUGUCUUGGGCUUCACGCAUGCUACAAUGGCCGGUACAAAGGGCUGCGAUACCGCGAGGUGGAGCGAAUCCCAGAAAGCCGGUCUCAGUUCGGAUUGGGGUCUGCAACUCGACCCCAUGAAGUCGGAGUCGCUAGUAAUCGCAGAUCAGCAACGCUGCGGUCGAAUACGUUCCCGGGCCUU
This 317-nucleotide ribosomal RNA is filed under the name uncultured Cellulomonas sp. Its description in RNAcentral is "bacterial SSU rRNA". It matches the Rfam family "Bacterial small subunit ribosomal RNA", at positions 1066 to 1382 of the family's 1533-position model. The record is from RNAcentral. Lineage: Bacteria; Bacillati; Actinomycetota; Actinomycetes; Micrococcales; Cellulomonadaceae.